AGAGUUUGAUCCUGGCUCAGACGAACGCUGGCGGCGUGCUUAACACAUGCAAGUCGAACGAUGAAGCCCUUCGGGGUGGAUUAGUGGCGAACGGGUGAGUAACACGUGGGCAAUCUGCCCUUCACUCUGGGACAAGCCCUGGAAACGGGGUCUAAUACCGGAUAAUACCUGCCUGGGCAUCUGGGUGGGUUAAAAGCUCCGGCGGUGAAGGAUGAGCCCGCGGCCUAUCAGCUUGUUGGUGAGGUAGUGGCUCACCAAGGCGACGACGGGUAGCCGGCCUGAGAGGGCGACCGGCCACACUGGGACUGAGACACGGCCCAGACUCCUACGGGAGGCAGCAGUGGGGAAUAUUGCACAAUGGGCGAAAGCCUGAUGCAGCGACGCCGCGUGAGGGAUGACGGCCUUCGGGUUGUAAACCUCUUUCAGCAGGGAAGAAGCGAAAGUGACGGUACCUGCAGAAGAAGCGCCGGCUAACUACGUGCCAGCAGCCGCGGUAAUACGUAGGGCGCAAGCGUUGUCCGGAAUUAUUGGGCGUAAAGAGCUCGUAGGCGGCUUGUCACGUCGGUUGUGAAAGCCCGGGGCUUAACCCCGGGUCUGCAGUCGAUACGGGCAGGCUAGAGUGUGGUAGGGGAGAUCGGAAUUCCUGGUGUAGCGGUGAAAUGCGCAGAUAUCAGGAGGAACACCGGUGGCGAAGGCGGAUCUCUGGGCCAUUACUGACGCUGAGGAGCGAAAGCGUGGGGAGCGAACAGGAUUAGAUACCCUGGUAGUCCACGCCGUAAACGGUGGGAACUAGGUGUUGGCGACAUUCCACGUCGUCGGUGCCGCAGCUAACGCAUUAAGUCCCCGCCUGGGGAGUACGGCCGCAAGGCUAAAACUCAAAGGAAUUGACGG
This 891-nucleotide ribosomal RNA is filed under the name Streptomyces sp. Its description in RNAcentral is "bacterial SSU rRNA". It matches the Rfam family "Bacterial small subunit ribosomal RNA", at positions 8 to 916 of the family's 1533-position model. The record is from RNAcentral. Lineage: Bacteria; Bacillati; Actinomycetota; Actinomycetes; Kitasatosporales; Streptomycetaceae.